This 514-nucleotide ribosomal RNA is filed under the name uncultured fungus. RNAcentral describes it as "SSU rRNA". It matches the Rfam family "Eukaryotic small subunit ribosomal RNA", at positions 569 to 1082 of the family's 1831-position model. The record is from RNAcentral. Lineage: Eukaryota; Fungi.
AGCAGCCGCAGUAAUUCCAGCUCCAAUAGCGUAUAUUAAAGUUGUUGCAGUUAAAAAGCUCGUAGUUGAACUUCGGGGUUCACCCAUUGGUCAGGCUUAACUGUCUGCACUGGUGAGAUGAAUCUCUACCUUCUGAGGAACUUUCAUGCCAUUUAUUUGGUGUGAUGGGAAAUCAGGACUGUUACUUUGAAAAAAUUAGAGUGUUUAAAGCAGGCUAUUGUCUGAAUACAUUAGCAUGGAAUAAUGAAAUAGGACGGAUUGGUUCUAUUUUGUUGGUUUCUAGGAUCACCGUAAUGAUUAAUAGGGAUAGUUGGGGGCAUUAGUAUUCAAUUGUCAGAGGUGAAAUUCUUGGAUUUAUUGAAGACUAACUACUGCGAAAGCAUUUGCCAAGGAUGUUUUCAUUAAUCAAGAACGAAAGUUAGGGGAUCGAAGACGAUCAGAUACCGUCGUAGUCUUAACCAUAAACUAUGCCGACUAGGGAUCGGACGAAGUUAAUUUUAUAAUGACGCGUUCC